AACGAACGCUGGCGGCAGGCCUAACACAUGCAAGUCGAACGCCCUGGCAACAGGGAGUGGCAGACGGGUGAGUAACGCGUGGGAACGUGCCUUUCGGUUCGGAAUAACCCAGGGAAACUUGGAUUAAUACCGGAUACGUGCGAGAGCAGAAAGAUUUAUCGCCGAAAGAUCGGCCCGCGUCCGAUUAGCUAGUUGGUGAGGUAAAGGCUCACCAAGGCGACGAUCGGUAGCUGGUCUGAGAGGAUGAUCAGCCACACUGGGACUGAGACACGGCCCAGACUCCUACGGGAGGCAGCAGUGGGGAAUAUUGGACAAUGGGCGCAAGCCUGAUCCAGCCAUGCCGCGUGAGUGAUGAAGGCCCUAGGGUUGUAAAGCUCUUUCGCCAGGGACGAUAAUGACGGUACCUGGAUAAGAAGCCCCGCUAACUUCGUGCCAGCCGCCGCGGU
RNAcentral lists this ribosomal RNA (446 nucleotides) under uncultured bacterium. Its description in RNAcentral is "bacterial SSU rRNA". It matches the Rfam family "Bacterial small subunit ribosomal RNA", at positions 29 to 521 of the family's 1533-position model. The record is from RNAcentral.